GCAGCUCCUGGGUGAGGCUGUGUGGGGAAAUGGGUGCAGCCUCUUGUUCUUGCAUUCCUGGUCUCCCAGAUAAUCCAUUGGAUCUGCUCCUGGAGCAAGGUGCCUCUGGACAGUGAUGGAUUAACUGGCUAAGAAUUUGCCAAGGGCAUCAACAGCAGUUUUCCCAGGCUCCAGCACAAGGAUUAUGUAGUCAAUCCACAAAUGACUCAAAUCUUUGAAGAAAAGGACAUGGUUAUCAGAGAGGCUUUGACGACAGCAGGGACGGGAGUGCUAUCUGCCUUUUUCCAUCAGAGAUUCCCAUUCCCUCUCAUUAACAUACUCAGGACAUCAGCACAGCCAUCGGCCCGAGGGAAUCGCUUCCAACUUUUAAGGGAAUGUGCACAAGACCUCGCCCCUGCGUUGUUUCAGACAGAUCAAAGCAGAUUUGCCUCGUGUAAAGGUUCUUCAGUCCCACUGAGGAUGUGAUGUGAAAGCACACACACUUUGUGUGGGGAAAGGAGAUGCCUCUACCUGCUCUCUCCCAGCGCCCUGUAAUGAAAAAUGCUUUUGGAGCAACACUGGAAAUAAGCCAUCAAAAUAUCUGAUUAAACCUCUUAGGAAACUCUCACUAAUCACCUUCUCUGCUCUUGAUGGAAUGUAUUUAUGCAUUAUAAAUAUACUUACUAUGUGUGUGUGCUCCAUAAAUCACACCCAGCACUUGUAUAUGAUGUAUAAGCACAUAUAUAGAACACACACAAAUACAGAUGCCAAGCUCCCACAGAGUUCAUCACUGGAAAAUGUUUGAAGGAUCUGAUCCUUAAUAUUUAAUGAGAAAGAUGCUAUUUCCUUCCUCAGCUUUUAUCUCUGGUUUGGCAUAGUCAUUAAAUUUGUUGUUUCCUUGCAAGAUUAUAUAAUUUAUGACCUAAUUUUAGACUUUUGUGUAACCGCAUUGAAACACUCGUGGCGUAUCCCGAUUUCCUCACACGGAGUGUUCCAGCCUCAGCCACCAGCUCCAACACGACUUCUGUGAGCUGCCUGUCAGCAAGGAGUCACAGGCAUGAAAGGAAAACAGCCCAGCAAUAUUCAGGCAGCAUUAGAAGAUUAGUUUGUGGGGGGUUUGCCCUGCAAAAAAUAUGAUUUAGCAGCAUUUCCAAAGCCGUCUGCGGUGCUGGCAGGAAUCCCCAGUCCUGAUGCCCUGCUGGAUGUGUUUGGGCCAGUAGCAGCCAGGAUGCAAAGCUGAGCAUCCACAGCCAUCACUCUCCUGCUCUUCACAGUAGAUGUUGCUGUCUUCCAAAUAUCCAGAAUUCAUUGAUAGUGAAAAUUUUGAGGAAUGGGACUUUAUUCUGCCCACAACAGCUUGGCAAAUUCUGAAUAUGCUGAUGCAGCAAUAAUUGGCUAGAAAAGGUAUUUUUCUUCUGUCACCCUAAAUGUAUAAAAUUAGAAAUGUAUCCUCAGUGUUCAUCCACCAGAAUAUCCAUUUUAUUAAGUGUUAAAAGUUUUUCAUGAUACUGAACCAAAACUUAUGUGUCUUUUAAGGAUUUUUUGUGGCAUGGUUAAAAACAUUGACAGGAUGUUUCUAACGUGGUAAAUUUCAGAGGAUCAUUUUAUGAGUUUUUCAAUUGUAAUCCUGGAGUUUCUUCCCUUUGCAGUUUUUCAAAAGGUGGAGUUAAACAAACCCAAAUGACAGGAAGAUGCAGCUGGGUGCUUUUAUAGGUAAACUAGUGAGAAGAGGCUCAGAGAUGUGGGUGAUUUGGUUUAGUGGAUAUGGUGGAAUUGGGUUGAAGGUUGGAAUGGAUGAUCUUGGAGGUCUUUUCCAAACUCGGUGAUUUUGUGAUUCUCUUGUGUGAGCCACAGAGGUUCAGGGUAGCAAACACUCCAUGGAGCUGCUCUGACUUAGGGAAAAGUCCUUUUCUAUGUUAGUUUUGAUUCCAGAGUUUUAUUUAACCUGUGGAAGCAGGGCUAAGGAAAGAGCAGGGCAUUGGCAGUUAAUAUUUUAUGCCUUUUUUUUUCCCUUAGGAAAAAAUUCUCCCUUUUUAAGGGGAUAAAGUGCAAUGGGAAUAGGACUGCUCAGUGGAGAUUUCCUUGUGGCAGAAGGAUGGGCAGCAUGGAGAUUUCUGAGAUGGUUUGGAUGUCACUUCCAUCAAGUAGAAGGAAUGUUAUGCUAAAACUGUUCAUCAAAACUGAGACCUCACAGGUUAUUUUGUUGGAGAGUCACGAAAACAACCACUGAUUUUUUUCCCUAGGGAAGAGAUUUUGUGCUAGAGGAGAAAAUGAGAAAACAGCCAGACCCCAAAAGAGGGAAAAAGGGAAAACCUGAGAUUAGAGCAGAGAAAAGGUAUCAACAUUUGUAAAAGAAAUUUGAUGAAGCUCUAAUUGUAUUUAAAAUCCACGUUUGUUUUGAAAUCCAAGGAACUACUGUCAAAUUAUUUGUGACACGUUAUUUCCAUAGUCAGAAAAUCCUCAUCUCUUGUAUCCCACUUUCAAAAGUUCAGUGUAUUCCAGUCUGAAAUCCCAAAAGACAGGGAAUAUAUCUGGAUUUCUGAUGCUUGGGAGUAUUGGCAUUAGAUGCAAGCAGCUGGGUUUUCCCAGGAAUGUUAUUCUGGAAUAUUUGAGUCACACAAGUUCUGGCACAGGUGCUGGGGGUGAUGUGGGCACAGGAGCACUGUGAGGUGGACUCGGGAUGUCACUGCUCUUCCUGGAUGUCACAUUGGAGCAUCGUGGUCUGGGUAAAUCCAGCCAGGAAUCUGCCAGUGGCCUCAGCAGAGCUGGAAUUCCAUCCCAGAGUGACACGGGCUGGUGACAUGGAGUGAUGUCAAGUCACUGAUGUAGAACUGGAAAGAUUCCUUGUCACAUAACUGAUCCCAUCGGGUUCCCAAAUUUCACUUGGGAUUUUUUUACCAAGUUUCCAUUCCCACUGCAAAUAUAUGGAUAACAUGUUUAGGCAUUAUCCUUAAAAAGUAAAGAAAUAAUUUCUUUUGGAGAUGUGUGAUCUGUAGAAGACAUUUGUGUAAUUUUGCAUUCUAAAUGUGAUUUAUAUUUAUAAAUAAAUUUGCAUAAAAUCUCCAGCUCUCGAUGUCAUAGUUCUAUUCUAUCUUUAAUUCAGAUGCUCAAAAAAUGUAAUUUUUUUUUUUUUUACAGCUAAA
Vidua macroura (Pin-tailed whydah) is the source of this 3122-nucleotide long non-coding RNA. RefSeq lists it as uncharacterized. The record is from RefSeq and is a predicted model, not a curated record. The transcript has 4 exons. NCBI's taxonomy places the organism in Eukaryota, Metazoa, Chordata, Aves, Passeriformes, Viduidae.